Molecule: transfer RNA, 74 nt
Filed under: Anaplasma platys
Lineage: Bacteria; Pseudomonadati; Pseudomonadota; Alphaproteobacteria; Rickettsiales; Anaplasmataceae
Description: tRNA-Arg
Rfam family: tRNA
About the family: Transfer RNA (tRNA) molecules are approximately 80 nucleotides in length.
Source: RNAcentral
GGGACCGUAGCUCAGAGGAUAGAGCAUUAGAUUCCUAAUCUGAGGGUCGUGCGUUCGAAUCGCACCGGUCCCAC